CAAGUAAUUAAGUGCAUGUGGUGGAUGCCUUGGCAGUCAGAGGCGAUGAAAGACGUGAUAGCCUGCGAAAAGCUCCGGGGAGGCGGCAAAUAUCCUUUGAUCCGGAGAUGUCUGAAUGGGGGAACCCACCUACUUUAAGGUAGGUAUUGCAACAUGAAUACAUAGUGUUGCAAGGCGAACGAGGGGAAGUGAAACAUCUCAGUACCCUUAGGAAAAGAAAUCAAUUGAGAUUCCCUCAGUAGCGGCGAGCGAACGGGGAUCAGCCCAUUAAGUUAUGUGUGUUUUAGUGGAACGCUCUGGGAAGUGCGAACGUAGAGGGUGAUAUUCCCGUACACGAAAGGGCACACAUAAUGAUGACGAGUAGGGCGAGGCACGUGAAACCUUGUCUGAAUAUGGGGGGACCAUCCUCCAAGGCUAAAUACUCCUGACUGACCGAUAGUGAACCAGUACCGUGAGGGAAAGGCGAAAAGAACCCCUGUGAGGGGAGUGAAAUAGAUCCUGAAACCGCAUGCAUACAAGCAGUGGGAGCACCUUCGUGGUGUGACUGCGUACCUUUUGUAUAAUGGGUCAGCGACUUAUAUUCAGUAGCGAGGUUAACCGUAUAGGGGAGCCGUAGAGAAAUCGAGUCUUAAUAGGGCGUUUAGUUGCUGGGUAUAGACCCGAAACCAGGCGAUCUAUCCAUGAGCAGGUUGAAGGUUGGGUAACACUAACUGGAGGACCGAACCCACUGUCGUUGAAAAGCCAGGGGAUGACUUGUGGAUAGGGGUGAAAGGCUAAUCAAGCCUGGUGAUAGCUGGUUCUCCCCGAAAGCUAUUUAGGUAGCGCCUCGGACGAAUACCAUAGGGGGUAGAGCACUGUUUCGGCUAGGGGGUCAUCCCGACUUACCAAACCGAUGCAAACUCCGAAUACCUAUGAGUACUAUCCGGGAGACAGACUGCGGGUGCUAACGUCCGUAGUCAAGAGGAAAACAAUCCAGACCGCCAGCUAAGGCCCAAAAUCAUAGUUAAGUGGGAAACGAUGUGGGAAGGCAUAGACAGCUAGGAGGUUGGCUUAGAAGCAGCCACCCUUUAAAGAAAGCGUAAUAGCUCACUAGUCGAGUCGGCCUGCGCGGAAGAUGUAACGGGGCUAAAACUAUGUGCCGAAGCUGCGGAUGUAUACUUUGUAUACGUGGUAGGGGAGCGUUCUGUAAGCCGAUGAAGGUGUGUUGAGAAGCAUGCUGGAGGUAUCAGAAGUGCGAAUGCUGACGUGAGUAACGACAAAACGGGUGAAAAACCCGUUCGCCGAAAGACCAAGGGUUCCAGUCCAACGUUAAUCGGGGCUGGGUGAGUCGACCCCUAAGGCGAGGCCGAAAGGCGUAGUCGAUGGGAAAAUGGUUAAUAUUCCAUUACUUCUGUGUAAUGCGAUGAGAGGACGGAGAAGGCUAAAUCAGCCUGGCGUUGGUUGUCCAGGUGAAAGGAUGUAGGCAUGUAUCUUAGGCAAAUCCGGGGUACUCUAUGCUGAGAUCUGAUAGCAAGCUGUACUUGUACAGCGAAGUGGUUGAUGCCAUGCUUCCAGGAAAAGUCUCUAAGCUUCAGUUACACAGGAAUCGUACCCGAAACCGACACAGGUGGUCAGGUCGAGUAGACCAAGGCGCUUGAGAGAACUCUGCUGAAGGAACUAGGCAAAAUGGUACCGUAACUUCGGGAGAAGGUACGCUGUUGUUGGUGAUGGAACUCGCUUCCUGAGCUGACGACAGCCGCAGAAACCAGGCCGCUGCAACUGUUUAUUAAAAACAUAGCACUCUGCAAACACGAAAGUGGACGUAUAGGGUGUGAUGCCUGCCCGGUGCUGGAAGGUUAAUUGAUGGGGUUAGCGUAAGCGAAGCUCUUGAUCGAAGCCCCAGUAAACGGCGGCCGUAACUAUAACGGUCCUAAGGUAGCGAAAUUCCUUGUCGGGUAAGUUCCGACCUGCACGAAUGGCAUAAUGAUGGCGGCGCUGUCUCCAGCAGAGGCUCAGUGAAAUCGAAAUCGCUGUGAAGAUGCAGUGUACCCGCGGCUAGACGGAAAGACCCCGUGAACCUUUACUGCAGCUUGACACUGAACUUUGACCUUACUUGUGUAGGAUAGGUGGGAGGCUUUGAAGCUGGAACGCUAGUUCCAGUGGAGCCGUCCUUGAAAUACCACCCUGGUAAUGUUGAGGUUCUAACUCUGUCCCGUGAUCCGGGACGAGGACCGUGUCUGGUGGGUAGUUUGACUGGGGCGGUCUCCUCCUAAAGAGUAACGGAGGAGUACGAAGGUGCGCUCAGCGUGGUCGGAAAUCACGCGUAGAGUAUAAAGGCAAAAGCGCGCUUAACUGCGAGACCCACAAGUCGAGCAGGUACGAAAGUAGGUCUUAGUGAUCCGGUGGUUCUGUAUGGAAGGGCCAUCGCUCAACGGAUAAAAGGUACUCUGGGGAUAACAGGCUGAUACCGCCCAAGAGUUCAUAUCGACGGCGGUGUUUGGCACCUCGAUGUCGGCUCAUCUCAUCCUGGGCUGAAGCAGGUCCCAAGGGUAUGGCUGUUCGCCAUUUAAAGAGGUACGCGAGCUGGGUUUAGAACGUCGUGAGACAGUUCGGUCCCUAUCUACCGUGGGCGCUGGAAAUUUGAGAGGAUCUGCUCCUAGUACGAGAGGACCAGAGUGGACGAACCUCUGGUGUACCGGUUGUGACGCCAGUCGCAUCGCCGGGUAGCUAUGUUCGGAAGGGAUAACCGCUGAAAGCAUCUAAGCGGGAAGCCUACCUCAAGAUAAGAUUUCCCUAGGACUUUAUGUCCUCUAAAGAGCCGUUCGAGACUAGGACGUUGAUAGGUUGGAUGUGGAAGCAUAGUGAUAUGUGAAGCUGACCAAUACUAAUUGCUCGUGAGGCUUGACUA
RNAcentral lists this ribosomal RNA (2887 nucleotides) under Acinetobacter baumannii 1457504. Its description in RNAcentral is "bacterial LSU rRNA". It matches the Rfam family "Bacterial large subunit ribosomal RNA". The record is from RNAcentral. Lineage: Bacteria; Pseudomonadati; Pseudomonadota; Gammaproteobacteria; Moraxellales; Moraxellaceae.